This 496-nucleotide ribosomal RNA is filed under the name uncultured bacterium. Its description in RNAcentral is "partial 16S ribosomal RNA". It matches the Rfam family "Bacterial small subunit ribosomal RNA", at positions 28 to 506 of the family's 1533-position model. The record is from RNAcentral.
GAUGAACGCUGGCGGCGUGCCUAAUACAUGCAAGUCGAGCGAACAGACGAGGAGCUUGCUCCUCUGACGUUAGCGGCGGACGGGUGAGUAACACGUGGAUAACCUACCUAUAAGACUGGGAUAACUUCGGGAAACCGGAGCUAAUACCGGAUAAUAUAUUGAACCGCAUGGUUCAAUAGUGAAAGACGGUUUUGCUGUCACUUAUAGAUGGAUCCGCGCCGCAUUAGCUAGUUGGUAAGGUAACGGCUUACCAAGGCGACGAUGCGUAGCCGACCUGAGAGGGUGAUCGGCCACACUGGAACUGAGACACGGUCCAGACUCCUACGGGAGGCAGCAGGAGGGAAUCUUCCGCAAGGGGCGAAAGCCUGACGGAGCAACGCCGCGUGAGUGAUGAAGGUCUUCGGAUCGUAAAACUCUGUUAUUAGGGAAGAACAAAUGUGUAAGUAACUAUGCACGUCUUGACGGUACCUAAUCAGAAAGCCACGGCUAACUACGU